RNAcentral lists this long non-coding RNA (985 nucleotides) under Pan troglodytes (chimpanzee). RNAcentral describes it as "long non-coding RNA NONPTRT005698". Lineage: Eukaryota; Metazoa; Chordata; Mammalia; Primates; Hominidae. The record is from RNAcentral.
CCGGCUUCCGCACCUUUCAAUUUCUGCUGGAUGGCAUAGCGCGCCUUCCGCUCCUGGUCGAGUUCGUUACACAGGGUAUCUGGAAGACAAGGGGAGGGGCCAGUGAGGAAACGCAGACCACCCUCCGAAAGGCCGGGGUCACAGCCCGGGCUUCCUCCUCUCCCCAGGGCUAAGCUCCGCGCAGAAACAACUCCAGGGAUGGGGGAGGGGGUACCGGAGCUCCUAACUGCAGACUGGCGGAGGAAGGAAAUGGCCUGGGAUGGCGCUUAAAGGCAGACGGAUCUAACCAAAAUUAAAGCAAACUUAGGCAUUACUUCCCAGGACUUGGCUGGGAGAUACUCCUUUGGUCUGGAUAGGAUUUCCUCGUUUCCAAAUCAUCGGCGGGCGAGUGAUUGUCUUCCUUAUCUGGCUCUUGAAGGCAAUAAACCGAGUUUCAAGGAGAGGCAAAGAAACCGUGACCCGGAUACUGCCGGAGCUGCCGCGGUCGGGGCGCCCGAGCCCUAAUUAAAAGCGUCGUGGCCGCCUCUGGUUCCCGGCUGUGCGCCCAGGAGCGCGCCCUGAGGCUUUGGGCCGGGCACCCCCCACCCCCGCGCCUGGUCUGCUCAUCUCCGGGCUUCAGGCCCCCGCCCCAGCCCCUUGGAAAAGAGCAAGGCGAGCAGCCGAGCCCACCAGGGACGAGCGACCUACAUCGCGCGCAGAUACUGGGGCACCGCGAGCGCGCGUGGCCGCCGGGUCUGUCCGCCCGACUCCUGCCGAGAACGCGGCCCAGGCUGCGACCUUCGGGGUGGGUGGGGGGACAUCGUCCGGGGUUCGGCUGCCUAGACCUGCCCGAUUUUCCGCUGCCCCCAACCCCUCCUCUGUGAGGAACCUGGUAAGGCGCGCAAGUGCAGGGCGGCCCCCACCACCCCGCGUUGGGCCUCAGCUACCCUGGCGUUUCUGGGGUACCCAAGUGCGCGGCCAUGUGCCCCCAUCCUCCGCCCCGAUC